UACGGAGGGUGCAAGCGUUGCUCGGAAUUAUUGGGCGGAAAGGGUAGGUAGGUGGUCUCGUUUGUCGGGGGUGAAAGCCCUGGGCUUAACCCAGGAAGUGCCUUCGAAACGGCGAGACUAGAGUUCUGGAGAGGGUCGUGGAAUUCCCGGUGUAGCGGUGAAAUGCGUAGAGAUCGGGAGGAACACCAGCGGCGAAGGCGGCGACCUGGACAGAGACUGACACUCAACUACGAAAGCGUGGGGAGCAAACAGG
Molecule: unclassified non-coding RNA, 253 nt
Filed under: uncultured Oligoflexales bacterium
Lineage: Bacteria; Pseudomonadati; Bdellovibrionota; Oligoflexia; Oligoflexales
Description: contains 16S-23S intergenic spacer region
Rfam family: Bacterial small subunit ribosomal RNA
Source: RNAcentral